Long non-coding RNA from Panicum virgatum (switchgrass), 1811 nucleotides. RefSeq lists it as uncharacterized. The transcript is spliced from 2 exons. The record is from RefSeq and is a predicted model, not a curated record. Lineage: Eukaryota; Viridiplantae; Streptophyta; Magnoliopsida; Poales; Poaceae.
CGUCCCCUUCCGGCCGUCGGCGCGCACCUCUGCCACUAGCACUGCCGCUUGCAUUCCCCUGCACCCCCGCCGCCGAAAUCGCCAUCGCGUGUGCGCCCCAGCGCCGCUGCUGCGGCCGCACGUGCGCCGCGGCCCUGCGUGGGUGCCGCUCUGUGCGCGGCGCCGUUAGCCCCGGUGCGCCGUCCGAGCCACCGCUGACGCAAGACCCAACGAUGGGUGGUGUCCGCAUGCAGCCAUGCAGAUAUCCAUAAUUGAUUGAUUACGGGUGACAUGUAUUUUGGGGGAGGGAGUACGUGCUACUGAGCCACCACAAAGGAGGUAGCUAGCUAACGUGUUGGCAACUAACAGGUUCCUAAAACGUCAUGCAUUACAACCAAACAAAGAGGACGAAUCAAGUGCCAGCUCCAUGACAGGAGGCCCCCGCGAUUCACCUGGCGGGCGCGGCCGCAAGAGGUGCCAGGGGGAGCUCGCCUCGGGACGGGCGGUGGCGGAGCUGGCGACUCCGGUGAGGCCGGAUCCGGUGGUCGCGGUGGAGCGCGAGGAGGCGCGGGGUGGCUGCUAUUGGGGCGCAGAGCCCGACAUCGGGGACGAUGCUGGGGGCGGCCGGCGGUGCUGAGGCUCGGCAGCAGGCUGGGCGCGGGUCCGUGAGGGCGCCGGCGCUCCGGAUCUGGCCUCCCGUGGCCUGGCGGCGGGAUCGGCGCUCCGGUUCUCGCCUGCAGUCGGUGCUGCCCUUGCGGAUCUGGUCGGGGUCCGUCCGCCGGCAGGUGGCCAGACGCCGAGGCUAGGGGCCGGUGCCCCGGUGGCCGGGGCUGGCGCCCUCAACGCAAGGGGUGGUGCCCUUGGUGGUGGGGCGCGCGCCCAUGGCUGCGGUCAGGACGUCGUCGGCGACUACUGCAGGUGCUUGUACCGGCGGCGGCAGUCGGCGUCGGUCUGUGCAGCGGUGUCACGCGAGCGGUGGAGGCAGGUCCGGCCCCCAUGUGCGGCCUGCUCGGAGGGGGUGGCGGUCGACGCAGCUGUGCGGCUGCCACGUGCAGCUGGCGCGUCGUUGCUCUCUGAUGAAGCCUUCAUGGGGCGGCGGGGCAGUGGCGUUUGAAGGUGUUGGACGGCAAGGGGUCCGGCUUCUUGGCUCGGCAUUGGCGCUAGUGGGGUCUUGGACGAAAGUCUUUGGGCGCCGUUUUCCCUGCUGGGGCGUCCGUGUAUCCCCCUAGUGCCGAUGUCCAUGGGUGAAAACCCAGUCCAUUGUGAACGUGCGGCGGCGGCGGCAUUGUUGUCGUUCCCUUGUUGAAGGCGUUGCAUUUGGACUUCGUCGUGGCUUCGAAGUCUCCUGUGUGGAUGCUCUUGUUUCUCGGCGUCCGGUCGACGUGUGGUGGCGCGUUUUGCAACGUGAAGUUGGAGCUGCUGCGUAGGGGACGCGGCCCGGCAACGAUGACGCGCGGCAACCCCUCCUCCGCCGUAGUCUGGGUCUCCGCUGGGGGUCUUCAUCUGCUUGGGUGAGGCGUGGGUUUUGACCGGAAGUCGGAGCUGCUCUUCACUUGAGCUUGGCAAAGAUAAUCGGUUGUGGCCGCUUGCUUCGGAACCAUCAGUAUGUGGCUCGUGGGUGGUCUGCCACAGGAAGUCGGAGCUGCUGGCGGCUUUGCUUCCAUGCUCGGCAAUGAUGACCUAUGGCAAUGUGUCGUGUUUGUGCUCAACAGCGUCGUGUGGGUUGGUUAGCUUUCGUAAGUCCUUUGGCUUCCUGUUGUGCUAACUUUUCUUGUAAAUAUUUUUCUAUUGUCUUAAUUGAGGCAGAGCUCCUGCCUUAUGUUAAAAAAAAA